AGAGAUGUGUGAUGACGCAUAUCAAUAAGCGGAGGAAAAGAAACUAACAAGGAUUCCCUUAGUAACGGCGAGUGAAGCGGGAAGAGCUCAAAUUUGAAAUCUUCAAGGUUCUACCUUGACGAAUUGUAGUUUAUAGAAGUGUUUUCUGUUAGUAGAGUGGCAAAAGUUCUUUGGAAUAGGACAUCAUAGAGGGUGAGAAUCCCGUAUUUGGUCAUUCCUCCUAGCGUUGUGAUACACUUUCAACGAGUCGGAUUGUUUGGGAAUGCAGUCCAAAAUGGGUGGUAAAUUUCAUCUAAAGCUAAAUACUGGCGAGAGACCGAUAGCGAACAAGUACCGCUGAGGGAAAGAUGAAAAGAACUUUGAAAAGAGAGUUAAACAGUACGUGAAAUUGUCAAAAGGGAAGCGUUUGACACCAGUGUUGUUUUUCCGAAAAUCAAUUACGAAUGUUUUGUUUUUAGAGAGAGUUAUGACUUCAUCGGCUUGCUUCCUUCUUUACUGAAACUUUCUUAAUGCACUUUUCGGUUAACAAGUCAACAUCAAUUUCUUUUGUUGUAAAAGGGUAUGAGGAAGGUGGCUUUCUUUUCGGAGAAAGUGUUUAUAGCCUUGUGCCUCUACAAUCGGAGAGAUUGAGGUCUGCAGCGUAGAUCCUUCGGGGUUAGAUACGUUUGUGCUAAGUUAUAGCUUUUCAUAGACAACUUGUUGACUAUGUUUAGUCUUGUAGCUUACUCGCUUAUGCUAUUUUACCUACGCUUAGGAUGUUGAGUAGCGACAUACGCA
This 777-nucleotide ribosomal RNA is filed under the name uncultured Neocallimastigales. RNAcentral describes it as "partial large subunit ribosomal RNA". It matches the Rfam family "Eukaryotic large subunit ribosomal RNA", at positions 23 to 648 of the family's 3401-position model. The record is from RNAcentral. Lineage: Eukaryota; Fungi; Neocallimastigomycota; Neocallimastigomycetes; Neocallimastigales.